Molecule: ribosomal RNA, 213 nt
Filed under: Triticum aestivum (bread wheat)
Lineage: Eukaryota; Viridiplantae; Streptophyta; Magnoliopsida; Poales; Poaceae
Description: partial small subunit ribosomal RNA
Source: RNAcentral
AAUCUACUAUGUUGGAAUUGUCGCGGUGCGGGCAAAGCUGCGACAAUUCGAGAGCUUCGCGAUUUAGCGAAGCAAUCUGCCCCGAUAGUGCUAUGUAUAGUGGAAACACAAAUCUCUAAAGCACGUGUCGAGAGUCUUGCUGAUACUUUAGGUUUUAAUCAUGCUUAUGCAGUUAGUAGUGUGGGCCGAAGUGGUGGUAUUGGUUUGUUUUGA